UAUGUUUGAGGAACACUAGGCUGUUGUCUAGACGAGGCAAGCUCUGGAAAGCAACGCCGAGUCUCUGAGAAGAGGGAGCAUAGGCUGUGCUGAUUUAAAAACAGAAAAUGCAAAGUUGGACUGAAAAUAUCCCACGUCUUCUAAGCAAUCUGCUUAAGGCUUCCAAACUUACCUUAAUUUGGUAAGAAAAUAAGCUGCCCUAUUUUUCUUUCUUCUUCUCUUACAACUGGAAGCAGCCAUUUCCCCAAACCACCACCAUG
Mus musculus (house mouse) is the source of this 260-nucleotide non-coding RNA. Lineage: Eukaryota; Metazoa; Chordata; Mammalia; Rodentia; Muridae. The record is from Rfam.